UGCCUCAGCACCGAGUGCCAACAUUGCAAAGGAAGCAGAGAUGCUUAUGGGUGAAAAGAAAAUAUUUUGAUGAGUUGCUUCGGAUGUGACCAGCUUGUAAAAUGAAAAUGCAAAGUCAGCAUUGCUGGGAAUCAGUUUAGCAAAGGUUUUGUUCCUAAAUGGAUAAACUACCUCCUCACGAGAACUGCGUCCUGGGUAAUAUGAUGCUUUUGGAUCAUCCUGCUUACUGCGGUAGCGAGGGUGCCGACACUGGACAACAGCACAUAAACCAGCCAGCAACAAACACAAGGAUAAGGAAGAGCUCACAGGCAGCCCAGCACUUGGCGAAGCAAAUGAUACAGUAGGACAGACUGAGUUUUCCAUAUCAUCGCAUAUCUCGCUUGGGAUUUUGUGUCAUUCAUUAAUGGAUACUACUGAAUAAGAGAAUUUCAAGAAAAAAAAAUCUACAAGCAAUGUGCUCCUCAAUCUAAGAUUUAUUCUCCUUAUCUGAUAAAAUCUACUGCGAUAACUGUGACUGAGUCUUAAAAUAGAGGCCUGCAGAAGUAAUCUCAAAAGAGUUUUCCAGGCAUGGAUAGUGAACUAUGGAACUAGCGAAUGAUGAAAUGAUGCAUCUUUGACUUGUUGUUCCUUGCAUACUUUGGACUGAAAAUGGUUUGCUUACCAAAGAAAUGCAGCUUACCUAAGUUUCUGCUGCUUUAUGGUCAGUGCAAAAGCUACGUUUAUGGAUAGAUAGCAUUAAACACUAACUUUUCCCAUGCAGAAA
Molecule: long non-coding RNA, 763 nt
Organism: Pogoniulus pusillus (Red-fronted tinkerbird)
Lineage: Eukaryota; Metazoa; Chordata; Aves; Piciformes; Lybiidae
Exons: 2
Source: RefSeq, a predicted model, not a curated record